This 794-nucleotide ribosomal RNA is filed under the name uncultured bacterium. RNAcentral's name for it is "bacterial SSU rRNA". It matches the Rfam family "Bacterial small subunit ribosomal RNA", at positions 8 to 796 of the family's 1533-position model. The record is from RNAcentral.
AGAGUUUGAUCAUGGCUCAGAUUGAACGCUGGCGGCAUGCUUUACACAUGCAAGUCGAGGGCAGCGCGGGGGCAACCCUGGCGGCGAGCGGCGAACGGGUGAGUAACACAUCGGAACGUGUCCCGUAGUGGGGGAUAGCCCGGCGAAAGCCGGAUUAAUACCGCAUAUGCUCUACGGAGGAAAGCGGGGGAUUCGCAAGAACCUCGCGCUAUGGGAGCGGCCGAUGUCCGAUUAGCUUGUUGGUGAGGUAAAGGCUCACCAAGGCGACGAUCGGUAGCUGGUCUGAGAGGAUGAUCAGCCACACUGGGACUGAGACACGGCCCAGACUCCUACGGGAGGCAGCAGUGGGGAAUUUUGGACAAUGGGGGCAACCCUGAUCCAGCCAUGCCGCGUGAGUGAAGAAGGCCUUCGGGUUGUAAAGCUCUUUUGGCCGGAAAGAAAAGAUCUCGUCUAAUAAACGAGGUUCUUGACGGUACCGGCAGAAUAAGCACCGGCUAACUACGUGCCAGCAGCCGCGGUAAUACGUAGGGUGCGAGCGUUAAUCGGAAUUACUGGGCGUAAAGAGUGCGUAGGCGGUUCUUUGUGUCCGCUGUGAAAUCCCCGGGCUUAACCUGGGAAUGGCAGUGGAAACUAGAGGACUUGAAUCCGGCAGAGGGGGGUGGAAUGCCACGUGUAGCGGUGAAAUGCGUAGAUAUGUGGCGGAACACCGAUGGCGAAGGNNNNNCCCUGGGCUGAGAUUGACGCUCAGGCACGAAAGCGUGGGGAGCAAACAGGAUUAGAUACCCNNGUAGUCC